GACGAACGCUGGCGGCGUGCUUAACACAUGCAAGUCGAACGGAAAGGCCCUGCUUUUGUGGGGUGCUCGAGUGGCGAACGGGUGAGUAACACGUGAGUAACCUGCCCUUGACUUUGGGAUAACUUCAGGAAACUGGGGCUAAUACCGGAUAGGAGCUCCUGCUGCAUGGUGGGGUUUGGAAAGUUUCGGCGGUUGGGGAUGGACUCGCGGCUUAUCAGCUUGUUGGUGGGGUAGUGGCUUACCAAGGCUUUGAAGGGUAGCCGGCCUGAGAGGGUGACCGGCCACAUUGGGACUGAGAUACGGCCCAGACUCCUACGGGAGGCAGCAGUGGGGAAUAUUGCACAAUGGGCGGAAGCCUGAUGCAGCAACGCCGCGUGCGGGAUGACGGCCUUCGGGUUGUAAACCGCUUUCGCCUGUGACGAAGCGUGAGUGACGGUAAUGGGUAAAGAAGCACCGGCUAACUACGUG
RNAcentral lists this ribosomal RNA (468 nucleotides) under uncultured bacterium. Its description in RNAcentral is "partial 16S ribosomal RNA". It matches the Rfam family "Bacterial small subunit ribosomal RNA", at positions 28 to 507 of the family's 1533-position model. The record is from RNAcentral.